Molecule: long non-coding RNA, 972 nt
Organism: Amphiprion ocellaris (clown anemonefish)
Lineage: Eukaryota; Metazoa; Chordata; Actinopteri; Pomacentridae
Source: Ensembl
CAAGACCAGGGUCAACCACGGCUACAUGCAUGAACGACGGCGCUUCAGACCCAUGUAGCGAGGACCCGAUGCCAGGUCCAGUGGACAGACUUCAGACGUCUCUGUGUGUCCGGUCCUGUCCGGUCCUGUCUCUGGUUGCCUGGUUACAGACGCUGCUGCACCCGCACGUUUAAAAAUGUCUACACCUGAAACUCCACCACGUCUAAAGAAGAAAAAACGUUUGCAAAUGUACAGACUGGAGUGGGAAGAGUGGAACCCCUGGCAAUGGAUACAAGGCAAACUGUGUUUUCUGUUGCUCAUGGACUGGCUGAAGUAAGGCAGCAUCAGGAGACCAACGUGUAAGAAACAUGAGAACAGAGAGAACCCAACCAGCAGGUCACAGUUUAUCAUCAUCUAAUCAUCUCCUGAAGUCGAUAUGGUCCCUCUCUAUCUCCCCACACAUCCACCAACCACUGGAACACAUCUCCAAAGUUCUGCAGGGCCAGCUCAGCUUCCCCUCAGAAGAAGUGCUGCCACCUGCCAGAUGAAGGAGCCUUUUGAGAGGCAGCUGGCAUCGUGAUUGGACUGUACUUUGGUCUGUUCCAAUCCAGCUUCAGCUCCAGAGACGGCAGGCGGGACGAGUCAACGGAGGCCGGGUGGACGAAGGCAUGCAGCUGAGUACAAUCCAGAAAACAACAGAGGAGGAGUGCAGCGGUCCAGGGCCAGAACAAGCAGAGUAUCAUGACCAAAGAACUACAGACUCUUCACAACCUGCUCAAACUCUUGGUACAGGACCUCACCACACGGGUCAAGAAGGUUUCCAUCUCAUUUCUACUCUGAAGCUCACCUUCUCCUGCUCAAACUGCUGACAAAUGUUUCUGCUGCUCUAAAGUCUGCUCUCCAGAACUUCCUAAAAACUCUCAAAGUCUCUUCUGCUGCAGGUUGCUUUGUAGAACUGUUCCAGAAAACCUCACUAAACCACAUGGAGGGGCC